UACGUAGGGGGCGAGCGUUAUCCGGAAUUACUGGGUGUAAAGGGAGCGUAGACGGCGAAGUAAGCCUGAAGUGGAAGCCCGCGGCCCAACCGCGGAACUGCUUUGGGAACUGCUUAGCUGGAGUAUGGGAGGGGUAAGCGGAAUUCCCGGUGUAGCGGUGAAAUGCGUAGAUAUCAGGAGGAACACCGGUGGCGAAGGCGGCUUACUGGACCAUGACUGACGUUGAGGCUCGAAAGCGUGGGGAGCGAACAGG
This 253-nucleotide ribosomal RNA is filed under the name uncultured bacterium. RNAcentral's name for it is "partial 16S ribosomal RNA". It matches the Rfam family "Bacterial small subunit ribosomal RNA", at positions 524 to 776 of the family's 1533-position model. The record is from RNAcentral.